UGUAGUCAUAUGCUUGUCUCAAAGAUUAAGCCAUGCAUGUCUAAGUAUAAAUAAAUUUAUAUUGUGAAACUGCGAAUGGCUCAUUAAAUCAGUUAUGAUCUACGUGACAUAUUCUUUACUACUUGGAUAACCGUGGUAAUUCUAGAGCUAAUACAUGCAAAAAAACCCAGACUUACGAAUGGGUGCACUUAUUAGAUAAAGCCAACGCUGGGUAAAACCAGUUUCCCUUGGUGAUUCAUAAUAAUUAAGCGGAUCGCAUGGCCUUGUGCUAGCGACAGUCCACUCGAUUUUCUGCCCUAUCAUGGUUGAGAUUGUAAGAUAGAGGCGUACAAUGCCUACAACGGGUAACGGGGA
RNAcentral lists this ribosomal RNA (354 nucleotides) under uncultured fungus. Its description in RNAcentral is "SSU rRNA". It matches the Rfam family "Eukaryotic small subunit ribosomal RNA", at positions 21 to 368 of the family's 1831-position model. The record is from RNAcentral. Lineage: Eukaryota; Fungi.